UCAUCCAAUAAUAAGGUGACAACUCAUCUCCUAUUCUAUAGUUUUCUUCUUUUUUAAGCCAACCAAACAACCUCAAAACAAUUAUUAUAGGAAAUAGGUUUCCUAUUCUUUGAUUUCCCAAUUUUUUUGGCGAAACGAACAGCCCCUAAGCCUACCUAAGUUCUACUUUAAACGCGAGAUUAAUUUUACCUCAAGAUCCAUGAUACUGACAAUACCUAAUUCUAGAUGAUGUGGCGAGGUAGCCAGCUGCAGUCAAUCACUAGAAGGGAGAUUUCAUAUGGAUCAGUAGGUCUUUGAUCUGUUGUUACUGCUGCUGCUCCUUUUUCUUCUCCUUGUGUUUAUAUGGAUAUCAUAAGAUGGUACUGAUGAUUUGUGUGCCACCAGUUGCCUUGGCAAUUGCUUAACUGCAAAACAGAUGAUUUUAAAAUGCGGUUGUGAACUUGAGUGCCUUUGCUGCUAUCUUUUUGCUUGUUUAUUAUAAUGGUGAGGCAACUUUCAAGUGUUAUAAGUUACGGAGCCGUUGCAGCCAUGUGCUAGAUAUUCAAAGGGGAAGCAUAGUAGGCAGCUCUUAAGCUUCACUGUUGCUUUAACAUGUGUUACAUAUUCUUCUGGCAAUCAACCAAACAGCUCCUUAGUGUUUCUUCUUGUUAUUGUCAUCAUCACCAUCAUCAUUGUUGUUGCUUCUCUUUUCCUCUGUUUAUCAUCGACUUAAAUUGUAGUGAACAAGUUUCCUUUUUAAAAACCAUGGAGAAGCUGUGAUGAUUUGCCUACAAAAGUGUAUUAUGAUGCAUCGCUGGAAUGUAUUGGUUUUGGUUCAGGGUUAGGGUUUGGGUUUAGGGUUUUGUGUAUCUAUUUGUCAGAUUUUCUCUUUUCCUGUUUCUGCAGUUUUCUACUGUGAUGGUGAGGCAAUUGUUGGCAACUUAUAUCAUCUUGUCAACUUUGCAGCCAUUUGCUAGAUCUGCAGACCUAUUCAGGGAAAAGUGUUGGUUUGUUCCUAAGGGGGUGUUAUUCAUUCAGGGUUGUUUGGUAGGGGACAAUUCUCAUGAUUGAUGUCAGGGCAAAUCUGAGCUCUCCACUGUCUUUCAUGUUCUCUUUUUUUAGAGCCCCUUUUCGUUGAUAUAGUUUUGGUUUGUAUCUGUACAGUAUGAUUGCCAUUCUCAUUUUAAAAUAAGAAGCAUUUUUAUUGGAGCUAUAUUAUGAAUUCACUCUACAGAUUUGAGCUUAGUAAUUAAUUGUUUUUAAAUUUUGUAUUAUAUUUCUCUGUUACGGUUAUAACAUUCAUUUGAACUCUUCCUACAGAUGAGAAGUGUUCAUUCUGAAAAAUAUCACGCCAUAUGUAUCCAAGGUUUUCAUGUUAGUUCAUUUGCAAACAGGGAUUUUCUUUUAAGCUAUUAUUAGCUACUAAUGGAGGUGGGGAAAAUGAACUACAUUCUGAAUAUGAUGUCCAGGCUUUUAACUCCCUGGAGUUCUUUGGCUUGAAAAUGUGAGACCAGUUAUUCUGGUUGUGCUCCUCCACAUGUUAAUAAUUUAUAUUCGACCUUUGCCUUUGUGUUCUUCCAUUUCACUUUUCUAGCUGCAGAUGGAACAAUUUUAUUGUAUUAAAAUGUAGUCGCAGAGAAGUGUUUUUAUUGGAGGGAAACAAAGAGUUCGCUGGUGACUUCACUUGGGCUUGAAUUGAGACCUUGUCAGAUGGUGUUGAUGAUAGUGCAAUCAUGUGGAAGUUUUGGCUACUCACAAGGAUUUGCAUACUGUCAAUUGUCAUGCUUGUGUUUUUAGCACAAAUUUUGAAUAUAUAGAAACUUUCUUUUUUUUCCCCCACAAUCACUUGACUUGUAUAGUGUUCUGGUGGACUUGUAGGGGAGAGGUUCAAGCGUGCGAGCGUGUGCUUUUCUGCCGUAAAGAGAAACUACCUGCAAAUAUUCUGCUGGCUUACACAUCCCAAAUUUUCUUCAAAUUAAUUCAGAGUGUGUACUAUAGACUUGUGCGUAUGUAUUCCAUCUGUAAAAUACUUUUUAAUGGAAAAUUUUCUUGUGAGGGUUGCAUUCA
Long non-coding RNA from Asparagus officinalis (garden asparagus), 2046 nucleotides. RefSeq lists it as uncharacterized. The record is from RefSeq and is a predicted model, not a curated record. NCBI's taxonomy places the organism in Eukaryota, Viridiplantae, Streptophyta, Magnoliopsida, Asparagales, Asparagaceae. The transcript is spliced from 2 exons.